Molecule: ribosomal RNA, 253 nt
Filed under: uncultured bacterium
Lineage: Bacteria
Description: partial 16S ribosomal RNA
Rfam family: Bacterial small subunit ribosomal RNA
Source: RNAcentral
UACAGAGGUGGCAAGCGUUGUUCGGAAUUACUGGGCGUAAAGGGCGCGUAGGCGGCCUUGUAAGUCCUGUGUGAAAUCCCCCGGCUCAACUGGGGAACUGCACAGGAGACUGCUUGGCUUGAGUUCGGGAGAGGGAAGCGGAAUUCCGGGUGUAGCGGUGAAAUGCGUAGAUAUCCGGAGGAACACCGGUGGCGAAGGCGGCAUCCUGGACCAAUUCUGACACUGAGGAGCGAAAGCCAGGGGAGCAAACGGG